GGACCCGCACAAGUAGUGGAGCAUGUGGUUUAAUUCGAAGAUAUGCGCAGAACCUUACCAACACUUGACAUGUUCGUCGCGACUUUAAGAGAUUAAAGUUUUCGGUUCGGCCGGACGAAACACAGGUGCUGCAUGGCUGUCGUCAGCUCGUGUCGUGAGAUGUUGGGUUAAGUCCCGCAACGAGCGCAACCCUCACUUUUAGUUGCCAUCAUUUAGUUGGGCACUCUGAAAGAACUGCCAGUGAUAAGCUGGAGGAAGGUGGGGAUGACGUCAAGUCCUCAUGGCCCUUACGUGUUGGGCUACACACGUGCUACAAUGGUAUUUACAACAGGAAGCAAGACGGCGACGUUAAGCAAAUCCCUAAAAGAUACCUCAGUUCGGAUUGCACUCUGCAACUCGAGUGCAUGAAGCUGGAAUUACUAGUAAUCG
This 429-nucleotide ribosomal RNA is filed under the name uncultured bacterium. RNAcentral describes it as "bacterial SSU rRNA". It matches the Rfam family "Bacterial small subunit ribosomal RNA", at positions 917 to 1344 of the family's 1533-position model. The record is from RNAcentral.